AAUUGGAGGGCAAGUCUGGUGCCAGCAGCCGCGGUAAUUCCAGCUCCAAUAGCGUAUAUUAAAGUUGUUGCAGUUAAAAAGCUCGUAGUUGAAUUUCGGGAUCAAUAUUUCGGUCAUGCCGUUGGUAUGCACUGUUAUCAUUGAUUUCUCACCUUCUAAAGAACCGUAAUGCCAUUAAUUUGGUGUUACGGGGAAUUAGGACUGCUACCUUGAAAAAAUUAGAGUGUUUAAAGCAGGCUCACGCUUGAAUACAUUAGCAUGGAAUAAUGAAAUAGGACAUCCGAUUCUAUUUUGUUGGUUUCUAGGAUCGAUGUAAUGAUUAAUAGGGAUAGUUGGGGGCAUUAGUAUUCAAUUGUCAGAGGUGAAAUUCUUGGAUUUAUUGAAGACUAACUACUGCGAAAGCAUUUGCCAAGGAUGUUUUCAUUAAUCAAGAACGAAAGUUAGGGGAUCGAAGACGAUCAGAUACCGUCGUAGUCUUAACCAUAAACUAUGCCGACUAGGGAUCGGAUGAUGUUAAUUUUUUAAUGACUCAUUCGGCGCCUUACGGGAAACCAAAGUGU
RNAcentral lists this ribosomal RNA (560 nucleotides) under uncultured Glomus. RNAcentral's name for it is "SSU rRNA". It matches the Rfam family "Eukaryotic small subunit ribosomal RNA", at positions 546 to 1106 of the family's 1831-position model. The record is from RNAcentral. Lineage: Eukaryota; Fungi; Glomeromycota; Glomeromycetes; Glomerales; Glomeraceae.